GCCGAGGUGGUGGAAUUGGCAGACACGCAGUCUUGAGGAGGCUGUACCGAAAGGUGUGGAGGUUCAAGUCCUCUCCUCGGCACUA
This 85-nucleotide transfer RNA is filed under the name Candidatus Gottesmanbacteria bacterium CG1_02_37_22. RNAcentral's name for it is "tRNA-Leu". It matches the Rfam family "tRNA". From Rfam's summary of the family: Transfer RNA (tRNA) molecules are approximately 80 nucleotides in length. RNAcentral also lists the same sequence under 2 other names. Lineage: Bacteria; Candidatus Gottesmaniibacteriota. The record is from RNAcentral.